RNAcentral lists this ribosomal RNA (2918 nucleotides) under Escherichia coli. RNAcentral describes it as "bacterial LSU rRNA". It matches the Rfam family "Bacterial large subunit ribosomal RNA". Lineage: Bacteria; Pseudomonadati; Pseudomonadota; Gammaproteobacteria; Enterobacterales; Enterobacteriaceae. The record is from RNAcentral.
GGUUAAGCGACUAAGCGUACACGGUGGAUGCCCUGGCAGUCAGAGGCGAUGAAGGACGUGCUAAUCUGCGAUAAGCGUCGGUAAGGUGAUAUGAACCGUUAUAACCGGCGAUUUCCGAAUGGGGAAACCCAGUGUGUUUCGACACACUAUCAUUAACUGAAUCCAUAGGUUAAUGAGGCGAACCGGGGGAACUGAAACAUCUAAGUACCCCGAGGAAAAGAAAUCAACCGAGAUUCCCCCAGUAGCGGCGAGCGAACGGGGAGCAGCCCAGAGCCUGAAUCAGUGUGUGUGUUAGUGGAAGCGUCUGGAAAGGCGCGCGAUACAGGGUGACAGCCCCGUACACAAAAAUGCACAUGCUGUGAGCUCGAUGAGUAGGGCGGGACACGUGGUAUCCUGUCUGAAUAUGGGGGGACCAUCCUCCAAGGCUAAAUACUCCUGACUGACCGAUAGUGAACCAGUACCGUGAGGGAAAGGCGAAAAGAACCCCGGCGAGGGGAGUGAAAAAGAACCUGAAACCGUGUACGUACAAGCAGUGGGAGCACGCUUCGGCGUGUGACUGCGUACCUUUUGUAUAAUGGGUCAGCGACUUAUAUUCUGUAGCAAGGUUAACCGAAUAGGGGAGCCGAAGGGAAACCGAGUCUUAACUGGGCGUUAAGUUGCAGGGUAUAGACCCGAAACCCGGUGAUCUAGCCAUGGGCAGGUUGAAGGUUGGGUAACACUAACUGGAGGACCGAACCGACUAAUGUUGAAAAAUUAGCGGAUGACUUGUGGCUGGGGGUGAAAGGCCAAUCAAACCGGGAGAUAGCUGGUUCUCCCCGAAAGCUAUUUAGGUAGCGCCUCGUGAAUUCAUCUCCGGGGGUAGAGCACUGUUUCGGCAAGGGGGUCAUCCCGACUUACCAACCCGAUGCAAACUGCGAAUACCGGAGAAUGUUAUCACGGGAGACACACGGCGGGUGCUAACGUCCGUCGUGAAGAGGGAAACAACCCAGACCGCCAGCUAAGGUCCCAAAGUCAUGGUUAAGUGGGAAACGAUGUGGGAAGGCCCAGACAGCCAGGAUGUUGGCUUAGAAGCAGCCAUCAUUUAAAGAAAGCGUAAUAGCUCACUGGUCGAGUCGGCCUGCGCGGAAGAUGUAACGGGGCUAAACCAUGCACCGAAGCUGCGGCAGCGACGCUUAUGCGUUGUUGGGUAGGGGAGCGUUCUGUAAGCCUGUGAAGGUGUGCUGUGAGGCAUGCUGGAGGUAUCAGAAGUGCGAAUGCUGACAUAAGUAACGAUAAAGCGGGUGAAAAGCCCGCUCGCCGGAAGACCAAGGGUUCCUGUCCAACGUUAAUCGGGGCAGGGUGAGUCGACCCCUAAGGCGAGGCCGAAAGGCGUAGUCGAUGGGAAACAGGUUAAUAUUCCUGUACUUGGUGUUACUGCGAAGGGGGGACGGAGAAGGCUAUGUUGGCCGGGCGACGGUUGUCCCGGUUUAAGCGUGUAGGCUGGUUUUCCAGGCAAAUCCGGAAAAUCAAGGCUGAGGCGUGAUGACGAGGCACUACGGUGCUGAAGCAACAAAUGCCCUGCUUCCAGGAAAAGCCUCUAAGCAUCAGGUAACAUCAAAUCGUACCCCAAACCGACACAGGUGGUCAGGUAGAGAAUACCAAGGCGCUUGAGAGAACUCGGGUGAAGGAACUAGGCAAAAUGGUGCCGUAACUUCGGGAGAAGGCACGCUGAUAUGUAGGUGAGGUCCCUCGCGGAUGGAGCUGAAAUCAGUCGAAGAUACCAGCUGGCUGCAACUGUUUAUUAAAAACACAGCACUGUGCAAACACGAAAGUGGACGUAUACGGUGUGACGCCUGCCCGGUGCCGGAAGGUUAAUUGAUGGGGUUAGCGGUAACGCGAAGCUCUUGAUCGAAGCCCCGGUAAACGGCGGCCGUAACUAUAACGGUCCUAAGGUAGCGAAAUUCCUUGUCGGGUAAGUUCCGACCUGCACGAAUGGCGUAAUGAUGGCCAGGCUGUCUCCACCCGAGACUCAGUGAAAUUGAACUCGCUGUGAAGAUGCAGUGUACCCGCGGCAAGACGGAAAGACCCCGUGAACCUUUACUAUAGCUUGACACUGAACAUUGAGCCUUGAUGUGUAGGAUAGGUGGGAGGCUUUGAAGUGUGGACGCCAGUCUGCAUGGAGCCGACCUUGAAAUACCACCCUUUAAUGUUUGAUGUUCUAACGUUGACCCGUAAUCCGGGUUGCGGACAGUGUCUGGUGGGUAGUUUGACUGGGGCGGUCUCCUCCUAAAGAGUAACGGAGGAGCACGAAGGUUGGCUAAUCCUGGUCGGACAUCAGGAGGUUAGUGCAAUGGCAUAAGCCAGCUUGACUGCGAGCGUGACGGCGCGAGCAGGUGCGAAAGCAGGUCAUAGUGAUCCGGUGGUUCUGAAUGGAAGGGCCAUCGCUCAACGGAUAAAAGGUACUCCGGGGAUAACAGGCUGAUACCGCCCAAGAGUUCAUAUCGACGGCGGUGUUUGGCACCUCGAUGUCGGCUCAUCACAUCCUGGGGCUGAAGUAGGUCCCAAGGGUAUGGCUGUUCGCCAUUUAAAGUGGUACGCGAGCUGGGUUUAGAACGUCGUGAGACAGUUCGGUCCCUAUCUGCCGUGGGCGCUGGAGAACUGAGGGGGGCUGCUCCUAGUACGAGAGGACCGGAGUGGACGCAUCACUGGUGUUCGGGUUGUCAUGCCAAUGGCACUGCCCGGUAGCUAAAUGCGGAAGAGAUAAGUGCUGAAAGCAUCUAAGCACGAAACUUGCCCCGAGAUGAGUUCUCCCUGACUCCUUGAGAGUCCUGAAGGAACGUUGAAGACGACGACGUUGAUAGGCCGGGUGUGUAAGCGCAGCGAUGCGUUGAGCUAACCGGUACUAAUGAACCGUGAGGCUUAACCUUACAACGCCGAAG